GACCUGCAUCCAGUUCACCCCUGGAUGUGAGAUCCGUCAGUCCUCUCGAGGCAGUCAUGUGCGUAUAUUUGGACAAUGGGGCCAAGCUGAUCCAGGCAUGCAGGGAGUGUGAAGGAUGUCCUUCGGAUUGUAAACUCCUUCUAAGCUGGCAGGAAGGGCAGUAAGCUUACUACCCUGCUUGCAUUGAGCGUUACUGGUCAGAAGAAGGCCACCGGCUCAUUCUCGUGACAAGCUGGUCGGCGGUAUUAACGGAGGGGUCAAGUGUUUAUUCGGAAUUUACUGGGACGUAACAGCCUGCCGCCGGCUGGUUCGUGCAAGCUCGAUAUGAAAUACCCUCCGGAGCUCUCACCCUGGGAAGUUGCUUCCCACACCGGCGGAGAUAGAGUUCGGGUAGAGCGGGGGCUGAAUUUUCCUGUGGAGCCGUGAAAUGCGUUGAUAUAUGGAAAGAACACCAGUGGCGAAGGCGACCUCCUGGAAUGAUAUCGACACUUAGGUGCGAAAGGGUGGGGAGCAAACAGGAUUAGAUCCCCUGGUAGUUCACGCCGUAAACGAUGUCAACUAGCCGUUGGAAUCCCUGAGAUUUUAGUGCCGCAGUUAACGCAUUAAGUUGACCGCCUGGGGAGUACGGCCGCAAGGUUAAAACUCAAAUGAAUUGACGGGGGCCCGCACCAGCGGUGGAGCAUGUGGUUUAAUUCGAAGCAACGGGAAGAACCUUACCAGGCCUUGACAUGCAGAGAACUUUCCAGAGAUGGAUUGGGUCCUUUGGGAACUUUGACACAGGUGCCGCCAGGCUGUUGUCAGCUUGUGUUUUGAGAUGUUGGGUUAAGUCCCGUAACGAGCGCAACCCUUGUCCUUAGUUACCAGCACGUUAUGGUGGGCACUCUAAGGAGACUGCCGGUGACAAACCGGAGGAAGGUGGGGAUGACGUCAAGUCAUCAUGGCCCUUACGGCCUGGGCUACACACGUGCUACAAUGGUCGGUACAGAGGGUUGCCAAGCCGCGAGGUGGAGCUAAUCUCACAAAACCGAUCGUAGUCCGGAUCGCAGUCUGCAACUCGACUGCGUGAAGUCGGAAUCGCUAGUAAUCGUGAAUCAGAAUGUCGCGGUGAAUACGUUCCCGGGCCUUGUACACACCGCCCGUCACACCAUGGGAGUGGGUGCACCAAGAAGUAGGGUAGUCUAACCUCCGGGAGGACGGUU
Molecule: ribosomal RNA, 1199 nt
Filed under: Pseudomonas monteilii
Lineage: Bacteria; Pseudomonadati; Pseudomonadota; Gammaproteobacteria; Pseudomonadales; Pseudomonadaceae
Description: bacterial SSU rRNA
Rfam family: Bacterial small subunit ribosomal RNA
Source: RNAcentral